AACGGCCGUACCAUGCUGAAUAUACCGGUUCUCGUUAGAUCACCGAAGUCAAGCAUCAUUGGGCGCGGUCAGUACAUGGGUGGGUGACCACCUGGGAACGCUGCGUGCCGUU
Molecule: non-coding RNA, 112 nt
Organism: Caerostris darwini
Lineage: Eukaryota; Metazoa; Arthropoda; Arachnida; Araneae; Araneidae
Source: the annotation of a GenBank genome assembly